UCCGGGACCACCAAGCGGAAAUACCAG
RNAcentral lists this unclassified non-coding RNA (27 nucleotides) under Mus musculus (house mouse). RNAcentral's name for it is "oocyte_clustered_small_RNA6727". Lineage: Eukaryota; Metazoa; Chordata; Mammalia; Rodentia; Muridae. The record is from RNAcentral.